AUCAGGUCGCCUCGCGCGGCCAGGCCGGCGCGCCCUCGCGGGCGGCGAAUCCGGUCCGACGCCCGUCGAUAACCUGGCGUCACG
This 84-nucleotide non-coding RNA is filed under the name unclassified sequences. RNAcentral's name for it is "Li+-II sequence". It matches the Rfam family "nhaA-II RNA". The record is from RNAcentral.